This 304-nucleotide ribosomal RNA is filed under the name uncultured bacterium. Its description in RNAcentral is "partial 16S ribosomal RNA". It matches the Rfam family "Bacterial small subunit ribosomal RNA", at positions 506 to 807 of the family's 1533-position model. The record is from RNAcentral.
CAGCAGUAGCCGCGGUAAUACGUAGGGUGCGAGCGUUAAUCGGAAUUACUGGGCGUAAAGCGUGCGCAGGCGGUUGUGUAAGACAGGUGUGAAAUCCCCGGGCUCAACCUGGGAACUGCAUUUGAGACUGUAUGGCUAGAGUGUGUCAGAGGGGGGUAGAAUUCCACGUGUAGCAGUGAAAUGCGUAGAUAUGUGGAGGAAUACCGAUGGCGAAGGCAGCCCCCUGGGAUAACGCUGACGCUCAUGCACGAAAGCGUGGGGAGCAAACAGGAUUAGAUACCCCUGUAGUCCCUGUCUCUUAUAC